Molecule: ribosomal RNA, 429 nt
Filed under: Acidobacteriota bacterium
Lineage: Bacteria; Pseudomonadati; Acidobacteriota
Description: Acidobacteria bacterium partial 16S ribosomal RNA
Rfam family: Bacterial small subunit ribosomal RNA
Source: RNAcentral
UGGGGAAUUUUGGACAAUGGGGGAAACCCUGAUCCAGCCAUCCCGCGUGUGCGAUGAAGGCCUUCGGGUUGUAUAGCACUCUUGGCAGGAAAGAAACGUCAUGGGUUAAUACCCCGUGAAACUGACGGUACCUGCAGAAUAAGCACCGGCUAACUACGUGCCAGCAGCCGCGGUAAUACGCAGGGUGCAAGCGUUAAUCGGAAUUACUGGGCGUAAAGCGUGCGCAGGCGGUUCGGAAAGAAAGAUGUGAAAUCCCAGAGCUCAACUUUGGAACUGCAUUUUUAACUACCGGGCUAGGGUGUGUCAGAGGGAGGUGGAAUUCCGCGUGUAGCAGUGAAAUGCGUAGAUAUGCGGAGGAACACCGGUGGCGAAGGCAGCCUCCUGGGAUAACACUGACGCUCAUGCACGAAAGCGUGGGGAGCAAACAGG